GUUAGGAAUAUUGGACAAUGGGCGCAAGCCUGAUCCAGUCAUGCCGCGUGAGUGAUGAAGGCCUUCGGGUUGUAAAGCUCUUUAGCCGAUGAUUAUAAUGACUGUAGUCGGAAAAUAAGCCCCGGCUAACUUCGUGCCAGCAGCCGCGGUAAUACGAAGGGGGCGAGCGUUAUUCGGAAUCACUGGGCGUAAAGCGUGCGUAGGCGGCUUUGCAAGUUGGGAGUGAAAGCCCAGGGCUCAACCCUGGAAUUGCUCUCAAAACUGCAAGGCUCGAAUUCGGGAGAGGAUAGCGGAAUUUCCAGUGUAGCAGUGAAAUGCGUAGAUAUUGGAAGGAACACCAGUGGCGUAAGCGGCUAUCUGGACGAGUAUUGACGCUGAGGCACGAAAGCGUGGGGAUCAAACAGGAUUAGAAACCCUGGUAGUCC
RNAcentral lists this ribosomal RNA (425 nucleotides) under uncultured bacterium. Its description in RNAcentral is "partial 16S ribosomal RNA". It matches the Rfam family "Bacterial small subunit ribosomal RNA", at positions 354 to 796 of the family's 1533-position model. The record is from RNAcentral.